Molecule: regulatory RNA element, 232 nt
Organism: Bacillus anthracis str. 'Ames Ancestor'
Lineage: Bacteria; Bacillati; Bacillota; Bacilli; Caryophanales; Bacillaceae
Rfam family: T-box leader
About the family: Uncharged tRNA acts as the effector for transcription antitermination of genes in the T-box leader family. T-boxes are found upstream of many aminoacyl-tRNA synthetase genes and some amino acid biosynthetic genes usually in Gram-positive bacteria. The anticodon of a specific tRNA base pairs to a specifier sequence within the T-box motif, and the NCCA acceptor tail of the tRNA base pairs to a conserved bulge in the T-box antiterminator hairpin.
Source: Rfam
GAAAAAGUAACGAUAAGGACACGAAAUCAUUUUUACGGUUUACAGAGAGGGAAGUCAAGGGUGUGAGCUUCCUAACACGAGAAAUGAUUUUACCACCUUUGAACUUCAAUAGUGAACGAGCAAUCUAGUAAUUAUUGACGGAAUCAGCCGUUAUCUGAACUUGAGCAAUCUAGGGAGAAAUAUGUCUAGGUUGGAACAAGGGUGGAACCACGAAAACACAUUCGUCCCUUUC